UCAGUGUCUCCCGAAGAAAAUGGGAGACGCUGAGACCGUCUCGAGACGAACCGUCUCCUAGUGUGGACUAGGCUUAAAACUGUUUUUUUUAGCUUCUUUCACACGGCAGUGAAUAACAACAUCAACUACCAGAUGCAGGCCAUCAGCUGCUGCACCAACAGCUAUUGUUAUUCCCCCACCGCAGUAACAGCAGCGAUAUCGUCAUCACCACAAUGGUGGGGGCCGAAGAUAUCAUCCUAAUCAUCAUCGGGGUGCAUUGGUUGGAUCUAACCAUCAACACCAGAAAACGGCCAUCGCAUUUGCAACAACAGUAAGCGUUCAGCAAAAAACAGGACAAACAAGGAUCAUCCGGCGUUAAUUGCCAAACGAGAAGCAGCAACAAGCAGCCACACGGGAAGACGUAAAAUUCAAACUAGGAAAAGCAGAAAUAACGAUCCAGUACUUACCGGAAAGUUUAAAUUAAGCUCUAUCUUCUAUGGAAAUCCCGCAUAUUGUCAAGUUCUAUAGAAAGUAUUAUCGAAGCCGGUCCGCUGCAAGAUUCUCGGAAAAUUCCAAAAGCUAUACCCAAAAAUCAAGCGAUCGCUGUCUGUACGCUUGUUUUCAUUAAUAUUCUUAAAAUUAUUGUCAUAUU
Long non-coding RNA from Uranotaenia lowii, 631 nucleotides. RefSeq lists it as uncharacterized. The transcript is spliced from 5 exons. Lineage: Eukaryota; Metazoa; Arthropoda; Insecta; Diptera; Culicidae. The record is from RefSeq and is a predicted model, not a curated record.